GGAGUGCCACUUCAUGACAUAAAGCACCUGCUCAGCUGGGAACAGAAUUUCAGGUGAAGUUGUGGAUUCCCAUCUAUCCUUCAGCAGAUAGUAUCCUCACUCGUAUCUGGCUGUAUUGUGUUCACACUCUAUGUCACAGGAUGAAAUCUCCAGAUGAAGGAGGAGUGCCCCUUGCCGCCUGAAGCACCUGCUCAUCUGGUAACAUAAUUCGAGGUAAAUUUAAG
Molecule: long non-coding RNA, 224 nt
Filed under: Macaca mulatta (Rhesus monkey)
Lineage: Eukaryota; Metazoa; Chordata; Mammalia; Primates; Cercopithecidae
Description: lncRNA (ENSMMUG00000062205.1)
Source: RNAcentral